RNAcentral lists this ribosomal RNA (326 nucleotides) under uncultured eukaryote. RNAcentral's name for it is "partial 18S ribosomal RNA". It matches the Rfam family "Eukaryotic small subunit ribosomal RNA", at positions 1470 to 1796 of the family's 1831-position model. The record is from RNAcentral.
CCCUUAGAUGUUCUGGGCCGCACGCGCACUACACUGAUGCAUUCAACAAGCCUAGCCUUGACCGAGAGGUCCGGGUAAUCUUUGAAACUGCAUCGUGAUGGGGCUAGAUUAUUGCAAUUAUUAAUCUUCAACGAGGAAUGCCUAGUAAGCGUGAUUCAUCAAAUCGCGUUGAUUACGUCCCUGCCCUUUGUACACACCGCCCGUCGCUCCUACCGAUUGAAUGUGUUGGUGAGGAGCUCGGAUUGGCAGCAGUUGGUGGUUCGCCACCGGCUAUUGCUGAGAAGUCCUCCAAACCGCCCCAUUUAGAGGAAGGAGAANUCGUANCA